Molecule: ribosomal RNA, 414 nt
Filed under: uncultured bacterium
Lineage: Bacteria
Description: bacterial SSU rRNA
Rfam family: Bacterial small subunit ribosomal RNA
Source: RNAcentral
AGUGGCGGACGGGUGAGUAAUGUAUGAGCAACCUGCCUUUCAGAGGGGGACGAACAGUUGGAAACGACUGCUAAUACCGCAUAAUGUAUUUGGGUGGCAUCACCUGGAUACCAAAGGAGCAAUCCGCUGAAAGAUGGGCUCAUAUCUGAUUAGUUAGUUGGUGAGGUAACGGCUCACCAAGACUGCGAUCAGUAGCCGGACUGAGAGGUUGAACGGCCACAUUGGGACUGAGAUACGGCCCAGACUCCUACGGGAGGCAGCAGUGGGGAAUAUUGGGCAAUGGGCGAAAGCCUCGACCCAGCAACGCCGCGUGAAAGGAAGAAGGUCUUCGGAUUGUAAACUUCUUUUAUGGAGGGACAAGGACGUGACGGUACCUCAUGAAUAAGCCACGGCUAACUACGUGCCAGCCGCCGC